AUUCAUUUAGUUUUAUAUAAAACAUUUUAUUUUCAUUAAAAAAAAGAAUAAAAAAUCAAUGAAUU
Molecule: transfer RNA, 65 nt
Filed under: Leptobelus sp. HL-2012
Lineage: Eukaryota; Metazoa; Arthropoda; Insecta; Hemiptera; Membracidae
Description: tRNA-Glu
Source: RNAcentral